CUGUUGAACUUGAAUACUUAAAGUACCAAAGAGUACGGCGUUUCUGUUCAAUGAGCUAUCGCGAUAGCAGAUGAAACAGUUGUUCGGAUAGGUGGAUCACAACAGGCUCAAAUGUCGUGCAUAGAGAGAAGAAAGUUACGACAGAAAUAGUCCUAUUUACGUGAUUAUAUCUCGUACAGUAAACUUCGACAACGGCAGCUGUUCCCCUGUCCAGGAUGCAAAUCCGCAAUGUUGUCGAAUUUAAGUGAUUGAGGACCAGUAAUGUCACAAACAAACACAUUGCCUAAUCACACUGCUCAUUGAGCUUCGAAUCGAUGUACUAUGGGCCCAGAAGAGAUGAAAACACGGGCAUCAAUCUCAAUAACAUCAGAAGCAAUACUAACAGCAGAACAAUUGCCAGCAGCAAAAACAUCUCCUGGAGUAGAAGAAGCCGCAUGUAAAAAGAUCAUAAAGAAAUCGACACUACCAAGAGCACCAAAAGCAGCACAGAAGAGAGGUGGAAGGAAUAAAAGAAAGCAGGGGCCUAUGUAUUUGAUGGGAGAGUAUUUUUACAUCCACAGGUAUCUGACCUCACUUAUGGAAGAACACUCAAUGGAAAAAAAUAUCCAAGUCAUCAUGGAACAUUGCAAUUUGUCAUAAAAGCAAAGCAAAACAGCAAAAUAAAUGUUAAGAAGAUGUAUGCAGCAGAAUGAUGGUAUCGGCUCGAGCAUCACAUGGUACAUUGCUGCUUGCCACUGAGCAUUGCCCACCAACCACCAUCUUAUGUGCACACCGCUGUCAGCAGACGAUGACACCAGCAAAACUUUCUUCCUGACAAUUCCUAAUGGUGAUGUGAUAUGAAGGCCAGUGAUGACUUGUGUGAAUGCCACUAUUUGAAAUGCAUUGUGGAGUUUUGAUGUGAAGUGAUGUGAGAGCAUGUGUGAAUUGGCCUUAAUAGGAUAUUGUGAUUGACCCAGGCAAACGACUUCAAUAAAUGGCAGAAGAUCCCA
This 989-nucleotide long non-coding RNA is filed under the name Schistocerca americana (American grasshopper). RNAcentral describes it as "uncharacterized LOC124600936, transcript variant X2". The record is from RNAcentral. Lineage: Eukaryota; Metazoa; Arthropoda; Insecta; Orthoptera; Acrididae.